This 1435-nucleotide ribosomal RNA is filed under the name uncultured marine bacterium. RNAcentral's name for it is "partial 16S ribosomal RNA". It matches the Rfam family "Bacterial small subunit ribosomal RNA". The record is from RNAcentral.
GAGUUUGAUCAUGGCUCAGAAUGAACGCUGGCGGCACGCUUAACACAUGCAAGUCGAACGAGAUCUUCGGAUCUAGUGGCAGACGGGUGCGUAACGCGUGGGAACCUGCCCUUUAGUAAGGAAUAACUUUAGGAAACUGAAGCUAAUACCUUAUAAUCCCUUCGGGGGAAAGCUUUAUGCGCUAAUGGAUGGGCCCGCGUUAGAUUAGCUUGUUGGUGAGGUAAAGGCUCACCAAGGCUACGAUCUAUAGCUGGUCUGAGAGGAUGAUCAGCCACACUGGGACUGAGACACGGCCCAGACUCCUACGGGAGGCAGCAGUGGGGAAUAUUGGACAAUGGGGGCAACCCUGAUCCAGCGAUGCCGCGUGAGUGAUGAAGGCCCUAGGGUUGUAAAACUCUUUCGCCAGGGAAGAUAAUGACGGUACCUGGUAAAGAAGAUCCGGCUAACUCCGUGCCAGCAGCCGCGGUAAUACGGAGGGAUCUAGCGUUAUUCGGAAUAACUGGGCGUAAAGCGAGCGUAGGCGGAUUUGUAAGUUGGAGGUGAAAUCCCAGGGCUUAACCCUGGAACUGCCUUCAAAACUACAUUUCUUGAGUUUGGUAGAGGAGAGUGGAAUUCCUAGUGUAGAGGUGAAAUUCGUAGAUAUUAGGAGGAACACCAGUGGCGAAGGCGACUCUCUGGGCCAAUACUGACGCUGAGGUUCGAAAGCGUGGGUAGCGAACAGGAUUAGAUACCCUGGUAGUCCACGCAGUAAACGAUGUGUGUUAGACGUUGGAAAUUUAUUUUCAGUGUCGCAGCGAAAGCAUUAAACACACCGCCUGGGGAGUACGACCGCAAGGUUAAAACUCAAAUGAAUUGACGGGGACCCGCACAAGUAGUGGAGCAUGUGGUUUAAUUCGAAGAUACGCGCAGAACCUUACCAACACUUGACAUGUUCGUCGCGACUCUAAGAGAUUAGAGUCUUCGGUUCGGCCGGACGAAACACAGGUGCUGCAUGGCUGUCGUCAGCUCGUGUCGUGAGAUGUUGGGUUAAGUCCCGCAACGAGCGCAACCCUCACUUUUAGUUGCCAUCAUUUAGUUGGGCACUCUGAAAGAACUGCCAGUGAUAAGCUGGAGGAAGGUGGGGAUGACGUCAAGUCCUCAUGGCCCUUACGUGUUGGGCUACACACGUGCUACAAUGGCAUUUACAAUAGGAAGCAAGGUGGCGACAUCAAGCAAAUCCUAAAAAGAUGUCUCAGUUCGGAUUGUACUCUGCAACUCGAGUACAUGAAGCUGGAAUUACUAGUAAUCGCGGAUCAGCGCGCCGCGGUGAAUACGUUCCCGGGUCUUGUACACACCGCCCGUCACACCAUGGGAGUUGGUUCUACCUUAAGGCAAGGUUUAAAAUCCUUGACUACGGUAUAGUCAGCGACUGGGGUGAAGUCGUAACAAGGUAACC